RNAcentral lists this ribosomal RNA (497 nucleotides) under uncultured bacterium. Its description in RNAcentral is "partial 16S ribosomal RNA". It matches the Rfam family "Bacterial small subunit ribosomal RNA", at positions 28 to 507 of the family's 1533-position model. The record is from RNAcentral.
GAUGAACGCUGGCGGCGUGCCUAAUACAUGCAAGUCGAGCGAACAGACGAGGAGCUUGCUCCUCUGACGUUAGCGGCGGACGGGUGAGUAACACGUGGAUAACCUACCUAUAAGACUGGGAUAACUUCGGGAAACCGGAGCUAAUACCGGAGAAUAUAUUGAACCGCAUGGUUCAAUAGUGAAAGACGGUUUUGCUGUCACUUAUAGAUGGAUCCGCGCCGCAUUAGCUAGUUGGUAAGGUAACGGCUUACCAAGGCAACGAUGCGUAGCCGACCUGAGAGGGUGAUCGGCCACACUGGAACUGAGACACGGUCCAGACUCCUACGGGAGGCAGCAGUAGGGAAUCUUCCGCAAUGGGCGAAAGCUUGACGGAGCAACGCCGCGUGAGUGAUGAAGGUCUUCGGAUCGUAAAACUCUGUUAUUAGGGAAGAACAAAUGUGUAAGUAACUAUGCACGUCUUGACGGUACCUAAUCAGAAAGCCACGGCUAACUACGUG